RNAcentral lists this ribosomal RNA (116 nucleotides) under Escherichia coli. RNAcentral also lists the same sequence under 1 other name. Lineage: Bacteria; Pseudomonadati; Pseudomonadota; Gammaproteobacteria; Enterobacterales; Enterobacteriaceae. The record is from RNAcentral.
CCUGGCGGCCGUAGCGCGGUGGUCCCACCUGACCCCAUGCCGAACUCAGAAGUGAAACGCCGUAGCGCCUAUGGUAGUGUGGGGUCUCCCCAUGCGAGAGUAGGGAACUGCCAGGC